CUACCUAGUACCUCGUUAUAAGUAACAAUUGUUAAAAGCUAACUCAAUUCGUAUAACAAAUUGUAGUAAUGAAAUUAUCAUAGUUAACCUGACAUGUACGUGACGCUUAUGAUGAAGAACAUCUUAGUCAUGGUUAAGUCUAAUUAACGAUUGGAUAUUUUGAAGAAAGUCGAUAAAAAAUUGUCAGUUGAUAUAUAAAGGAUUGUUUUAAUACUGGGCAUUCACGUUGUGGCC
Molecule: long non-coding RNA, 234 nt
Filed under: Mytilus galloprovincialis (Mediterranean mussel)
Lineage: Eukaryota; Metazoa; Mollusca; Bivalvia; Mytilida; Mytilidae
Source: RNAcentral